Molecule: ribosomal RNA, 803 nt
Filed under: Bacillus vallismortis
Lineage: Bacteria; Bacillati; Bacillota; Bacilli; Caryophanales; Bacillaceae
Description: bacterial SSU rRNA
Rfam family: Bacterial small subunit ribosomal RNA
Source: RNAcentral
AAGAGUUUUGAAUUCUGGCUCAGGACGAACGCUGGCGGCGUGCCUAAUACAUGCAAGUCGAGCGGACAGAUGGGAGCUUGCUCCCUGAUGUUAGCGGCGGACGGGUGAGUAACACGUGGGUAACCUGCCUGUAAGACUGGGAUAACUCCGGGAAACCGGGGCUAAUACCGGAUGCUUGUUUGAACCGCAUGGUUCAAACAUAAAAGGUGGCUUCGGCUACCACUUACAGAUGGACCCGCGGCGCAUUAGCUAGUUGGUGAGGUAAUGGCUCACCAAGGCAACGAUGCGUAGCCGACCUGAGAGGGUGAUCGGCCACACUGGGACUGAGACACGGCCCAGACUCCUACGGGAGGCAGCAGUAGGGAAUCUUCCGCAAUGGACGAAAGUCUGACGGAGCAACGCCGCGUGAGUGAUGAAGGUUUUCGGAUCGUAAAGCUCUGUUGUUAGGGAAGAACAAGUGCCGUUCGAAUAGGGCGGCACCUUGACGGUACCUAACCAGAAAGCCACGGCUAACUACGUGCCAGCAGCCGCGGUAAUACGUAGGUGGCAAGCGUUGUCCGGAAUUAUUGGGCGUAAAGGGCUCGCAGGCGGUUUCUUAAGUCUGAUGUGAAAGCCCCCGGCUCAACCGGGGAGGGUCAUUGGAAACUGGGGAACUUGAGUGCAGAAGAGGAGAGUGGAAUUCCACGUGUAGCGGUGAAAUGCGUAGAGAUGUGGAGGAACACCAGUGGCGAAGGCGACUCUCUGGUCUGUAACUGACGCUGAGGAGCGAAAGCGUGGGGAGCGAACAGGAUUAGAUACCCUGG